UACGUAGGGGGCAAGCGUUGUCCGGAUUUAUUGGGCGUAAAGAGCGUGUAGGCGGCCAUGCAGGUCCGCUGUGAAAACUCGAGGCUCAACCUCGAGACGUCGGUGGAAACCGUGUGGCUAGAGUCCGGAAGAGGAGAGUGGAAUUCCCGGUGUAGCGGUGAAAUGCGCAGAUAUCGGGAAGAACACCCGUGGCGAAGGCGGCUCUCUGGGACGGUACUGACGCUGAGGACGCGAAAAGCGUGGGGGAGCAAACAGGG
This 257-nucleotide ribosomal RNA is filed under the name uncultured bacterium. RNAcentral describes it as "partial 16S ribosomal RNA". It matches the Rfam family "Bacterial small subunit ribosomal RNA", at positions 524 to 777 of the family's 1533-position model. The record is from RNAcentral.